RNAcentral lists this Y RNA (96 nucleotides) under Prolemur simus (greater bamboo lemur). RNAcentral's name for it is "Y RNA (ENSPSMG00000012289.1)". It matches the Rfam family "Y RNA". From Rfam's summary of the family: Y RNAs are components of the Ro ribonucleoprotein particle (Ro RNP), in association with Ro60 and La proteins. The Y RNAs and Ro60 and La proteins are well conserved, but the function of the Ro RNP is not known. Lineage: Eukaryota; Metazoa; Chordata; Mammalia; Primates; Lemuridae. The record is from Rfam by way of RNAcentral.
GGCUGGUCCGAUGGUAGUGGGUUAUCAGAGCUUAUUAACAUUAGUGUCACUAAAGUUGGUAUUCAACCCCCCACUGCUAAAUUUGACUGGCUUUAA